ACGCUGGCGGCGUGCCUAAUACAUGCAAGUCGAGCGGACCAAAGGGAGCUUGCUCCUGGAGGUUAGCGGCGAACGGGUGAGUAACACGUGGGCAACCUGCCUGUAAGACUGGGAUAACAUCGAGAAAUCGGUGCUAAUACCGGAUAUAAAAAGAACUGCAUGGUUCUUUUUUGAAAGAUGGUUUCGGCUAUCACUUACAGAUGGGCCCGCGGCGCAUUAGCUAGUUGGUGGGGUAACGGCUCACCAAGGCGACGAUGCGUAGCCGACCUGAGAGGGUGAUCGGCCACACUGGGACUGAGACACGGCCCAGACUCCUACGGGAGGCAGCAGUAGGGAAUCUUCCGCAAUGGACGAAAGUCUGACGGAGCAACGCCGCGUGAGUGAUGAAGGUUUUCGGAUCGUAAAACUCUGUUGUUAGGGAAGAACAAGUGCCGUUCGAAAGGGCGGCACCUUGACGGUACCUAACGAGAAAGCCACGGCUAACUACGUG
RNAcentral lists this ribosomal RNA (490 nucleotides) under uncultured bacterium. RNAcentral's name for it is "bacterial SSU rRNA". It matches the Rfam family "Bacterial small subunit ribosomal RNA", at positions 33 to 507 of the family's 1533-position model. The record is from RNAcentral.